AGAAGGGACAGCACUUCUCUGGAUCCCCCAGGGAAACUAUCCAAAUGCUCACUUAUGUUCAUGUUUUCUCUUCUUUCCCCCUCACAGCUGAAGGAUGUUAGCUGAGAUCUAGAACCUUCUCCUGCCCUGGUUGCUGCUAAGACCUCAUCCUCUGGAUGCUAAACCCUUGGCUCCAAAAAUCCCAUGACUGCAAGGGAUUUGGAGGCAGAAUCUUCUCUGAUGAUUCAUUGCCAAAAUGCCAUCCGUCACAAAGGAACUGUGGUGGGCACGUUUUAUUUCUUGUUCUAACUAGAUGGACUUCUAUUCCCAGAUGGCUUUAGAAAGUUCUUCCUUAUAUGGAUCCAAACUUGCCUCCCUCCAACUUCUGGUCUACUCUGUUCCUCCUCCUGUGCCUACUAAACAAGAAUUCUCCUUCUGCCUCCAAGCAGCGUUUAGUCAAGGUGGGCAGCGGCCGUGUCUUCUCUCUUUUGUCCCCACAAACGUCUAUAUCGGGCUCGUCAUUCCUAGUUCUUUCCAAGACUUUUCAACUGGCCCAGCUCCUUGGAGGUACCCUGGCAUCAUGGAAAAAAACAAACACGAGGCUUGGAAUUCAAUGCCAGGGGAUCCUGAUCAGCCUCAAAACGACCUUGGUUAUUGGUUAAAAUCACUGAUCCUCUCCAGACCUUGCUUCCCCUUCCAUUAGUUGUGAGGGUCAGACCAGGUAAGCUUUGAGGUUGUAGGCUGGGUUCUUAAAAUGCCCUUAAAAUGUCACAGGCACACGCUGGUCUUGGCAUGUGUCUUCGCCUGUGGUAUAACCCGUCUUCCCUUGGACUAUGGUAUUUGGACGGUAGAAACAGGCAGAGGAAGAGCAGAUUCAUAAUGGCCCUUUAUUGUAUUAAAAUCCACCUAAAACCUCACCUCUUAUUUCACGGCGUGUGUAUGAAAUAAAAGUAAUAGAAAUUAAGAGGAAUCAACCUGGGAGCUUGGCAUCGCUUCACCCUGGCUCCAACCCCCAGACGAGUCCAGUCUUCCCUUUCCAGGAAAUUUUUAGAAUGUUCCUGCCCCACACAGUUGUAUGCUUGUUUCCCCACCACCCCCCCGCCCCGCCCCAGACCUACAAGUGGAAAAAUCUCCCUGUUUGCUUUCCCAUUUGAAAGAUACAAGCAAGACAACCCCCCACAUAGGAUUUUAUGAAUGGAGCAAGAGAGAAACAUCAGCGAAGGACUUGUCUGGGGCUGUUUGAAGUUAAAGGGUCAAAGUGAGACUGGGAACUAGAAGAAAAAAAAAAAAAAAAAGGUGUUGUCUGGGCUCCAGUGACAGAGAAGUCAUGUCAUCGGAGAACUAGCCCAGCCCGGACUGGGAAUGUGAUGAGCUUCCGAUUAAAAAGCCAGGAAGGCCAGUAUCUCCAGUCUGAGCAGAGGAACCUCAUGUGAGCAGAGGAACCAUGCUCCUUCCCCUCCUUGACCAGGGAAAGGUCUAUUGGUCAGCUCUUUGGUCUGUCCUGCCUCUCUACCUUCCUGCAUUUCUUUCCUAGUGGCACAAUCACCCUUCCCGCCGCUGGUUUUGCAGCCAGAACCAAAAAAUAGUUCUAAAUCUUGUAGUGUGUUUAGCGUCUAAAGGGCUCACAUAUGCACUGUUCCCCUUGGAGCCUGUGCUGUGACACACGGGCAGACACGGCCCGGGAGGGCUUACAGUCCCACUUUCCUGAUGAGCCUGCGGUUGAGAGGAGGAAAUCGUGCAACAUUCAGGCCUUGUCCAAGUCAAACUCCCCGGGCAAACUACCUUCUUGUGGAGUUGGGUUGGGCCUAUUUAGGGAUUAUGUCUGGUGGGGGCGUGGGGGAGAAAUGCAGAAAGUGACAGUGUUAAGAAAAUGACCCAAAAUCUUAGAGAAAACGUGAAUUUCCAAAAUUUGGGCUCCUGCCCAGUGCCCAGGGCUACAUCACCAGUCCCAGAACCCUAUGCCUCCAGAUGAUGGGCUGAGAGGGAAGGGGGAUGUCUGGACUAUUCUUCCUGCAUGGCCACACUUUCUACACACGCAUAAGAUCCCCGAGGCUCUCGGAAACAGGUCUGGCAAAGGGGCCAGCCGUCCAUCCCGCAGAGCUGAUGGGGUGCAACAGUAACCCCAGUGAGGUCAGAACACAGAGUCAAACCCCAGCGUUCAGAACACAUCCUCUGCCAACCAAACCUAGAUCCGGUCCGCCCAGUGAAAAUAUAAACAGCCCUGUAGAAAUGACUGGUAUCGAAUGAAGACUCGCUCCUUUGUAUCUCUUUAGCCCGUGGUGAUGCAGAUGUCUAUCCUUUUCAAAGUGUUUUCACAAUCCAGCAUCCCGCUGGGGGCUCAAGGCAUGUCUUCCUGCCCCGUAGUACAGGUGAGAAGGUGAGGCCCAGAGAGGGGAAGACAUCUUCCCAGAGCCCCAGGGAGUGAGCAGCAGGGCUGGGUGAGGACCCAGGCGGCCCCGCUCCACCCCUGGCGGUCUCUUCGUCUCACAGUUUCCCUUGGCAGCUGCCACCUCCCAGGUGCUCACCUGAAUGGAGCCCAGUUGGGCUGUGAACUGGCCUGAGUUGCAGGGAAGGAAAGUAGCCUGGGCCAGGGGAGGAACAGGAGGCGUGUUUCCCUUGGCUUGGUGGUCACCAAAUGCAGACACUGCUCACUCCCACCCCACCGCCGCCUCCUCCCCCUGUUCCGUACAUCAAGUCCCUUCCUUUUUGCCUUUAUUUGCUCUGGAGAUGGCUGAAAACCCGUCCGUGGCUGCCAGCAGGACCUGAAGCUGAGGUCACUCCUCUCUUUAGAAAGACUCCGGGGAUGGAAAAGUGGAAAAGUACAGCCAGCCCCCCCAGUUCAUCUCCCUCAAAAUAUAAAGGGCCUCCUUUGGGCUCUCCUUGGACACUGAAAAGUCCCUUGAAUGUCAGCACAGGGGGGACAUCUCAGAGUCAUGGAGCCUUAGACUGUGGGCCUUGGAAUCAUAGGCUCUUAAGAACGUGAAGCACAGAAUUUGAGCUGUAAUCAUCAAAUCUGAUUUGAAGAGAAAGAGGUUUAUGGAGCAGGGCAGUCUAAGAGAACCUUCUGGAGAUGAUGCAAAUAUUCUCUACCUGCAGUGUCCAACGUGGUAGCUAUGGUUGGCGAACCCUUGAAAUACCGCUAGUGUGGGCGAACUGAAUUUUUAAUUAUAUUUCAUUGUAAUUAAUUUAAAUUUAAGUAGCCACAUGUGGCUAGUGGCUACCAUAUUGGAGUGAUUACACACUUUUAUAGAAACGGCAGAACAGAAAGGUAAGCUCGUGGGCUCUGGAGACAGAGCGUACAGAUUCAAAUCUGCCGCUUAGCAACUGUGUGACCUUCGGAAAGUAACUUUCCCUCUCUGGGCCUCAAUUCGUUUCUCCAUCGGUAAAACGGAAAUAACACACCUACCUUGAGAGGCUCACGGGUGAUUUAUAUGAGAGAAUAGAAGUAAGCAGUGUUGUUUGCAAGAACACCCAAGGAUCCCAGAAUAUCUAUCCCCCCCUCAAGAAUCCAGGGCAAGAACCCCAGCUCUUGCCUGUGGCCUAGGAAGAGAGGGUGUUGGGGUGGAACAAAGGAGGCAUUGCUCCUCUUGGUCAAGGGGACACUAUCCCAGCCUCCAGAGAACACAGUGACGAAGCCUGGGCCCCAGGCCGGCCCCUUCGUUGGCCUGCUGACGCAAACCAAGCAUCUCUCUCCCACUGUUUGGCUUGGAAACAAGGGUUCCAAAAACACACGUUCCUGGUAAACAAGCCUAAAGAGAGAAAAACAAGUCUGGAGGCUAAUAAAGGAACCCCCUCUGCGAGCCAGGCCCGCCAGAGAGCUGGGACUUGGAAGGAGGGCCGGGCCAGGCCGGAGACCUGGCACUCACACCAGGGAGAGAGCACCGCCACUCAGAGGUGGUCUCGUGACACAGAAGUCGGGAGUCCUGGGACUGCGGUCUUGGCAGCAUUGUUCCCAGCUCACCAGGCAAAUUUAGGGAAGGCUCCUUCGCUCCCUGGACCACACCUGGCCCUGCUCAUGUGCACAAUGAGGAGGUUGUUUUAGAUCAGUGGUGCUCAAAAUUACAUAAGCCCUUUCUUUCAAUGAGGUCUUCUGCAAAGUCCAAUAUUUGAAGCAGCCUUUGGCAUUUGUUGAAACAUGAAGGCGUUUAUCUGUUCAGUGAAUCAGCGUGAAAUUAAAAAAAAAAAAAAACAAAAGCAGGCAAAAGUGAUGCUGAGAAGGGGGCUGAAGGUCCUACACACUCGGACACCCCUGAGACAUGUUGGAGCAUCUCUGGGUUCUCCUAUAAACACAGUUUGCAAACCCUGGGGCAGCGUCGUCCCUACGGUUUCUUUCGGCUCUGGCUUUCUAAGUCAGCUCAGGCAGAAACCUGUCAGAGUAUCACCCCACCCAGCCUGUCCCUGGACUCUGCUUCCAAUUUUAAUAUUUCUUGCUGGAAGAGAAGAAUCUGAGGGAAACUCAAGCUCAAGCCCAGAAGUGAAGAGGUUCUGGGGCAGCUCUGAAGCAGCUCCAGAGUCUGGGACUGGGAUCAGCCCGAGAUUCCAUAAAGGCAUCUAAGAUGCCACGUUUCACUGUUUCAUCGUGGUUAGGAGAGGCCCCGGGUGGAGCUUCAGGCUUUCCUCCUUGGCUCCCUCUAGGGGCCACUGCUGCAAAUGGGGUGACCACAAAUGGAGGGGAUGAGAGCUCAGACUGUCACAUCCCUAGGAUAGUAAAUACAUGGUGAAUAUGUCUCCACAUGCUCCUCCAGUACAUGUGGCAGACCUUACUAAUCAAGCACAGGAUCUUUUUCCCCUAAAGUGCAGAGUGGAGUCUAAAUCUUGAACAAGGUUCUUCUAGCAGCCACUACCUAUGGAUUAGCAUUGGCAAGCCAUGUGAAACCUGUCUGCCAUGCUUCUGAUUUGAGAGACAAAAGGAAUUGAGGCUCAGAGAGGAAAAGUAGCUCAUUUAAGGGUCCCACAGCAGGCGGGUGUCAAAGCUUAACUUCCAGAUGUUCAGGAACCUCCAGAUGUUUACCUUGUUUCGUUUCUUAUUUCAUCUGAUCAGUCUGGGAUCCUCAUGCCAUGACUAAUAUAAGAUGACCCAGAGGGAUCCCCGGAUAAGAUAGGCUAAUAACCAGUUUCUGAAAGAACCCAGUUCUGGACACAGUUGGUAUCUCCAUCCAUAUUUUUUCUAUAGACACCGAGCUCUAUGUCUUGAGAAUGGGGGCAGAACUAAUUUCCUACCUAAGCCAUCUCUCCCUCCUGGAUAACAGGAGGCUGUUUUUCUAAAGGAUUCUGCCAAGUCACUGCUUGCUGCCUCUGGCUCUGCUCAGCCCAGCCAUCCCCGAGUUCAGGGUUGGGGAUAGGAUCCAGGCCGUCUGCUGUAGAGAAGAGGUGGCUUCGUUAAUCCCCAGGGUUGGCCGAAAGCUCAGCUCCAGCCCUCUCUUACCUCCUUUAAAGACAGGAUAGGGAAGGAGACAGCAAGAAGCAAAUGAACAGCCACCUAUUAGCCACAUUGUGCCGUCCUGAUGGCAUAAUUCCCUAAUGAGGCCUGGGAUAGGCCAUUGCUGGCCAGCAAAGGAGAGAGAGAAAGUACUGCUCCUCACUUAUCAUCCACAGGGCUUGUUGCCUGUACAAACAUGAAACCAAAGUGAUCAGAUGAAAACAAAAAAAGAAAGAAGAAAGAAAGAAAGAGAGAAAGAGAGAAAGAAAGAAAAAGAAAAAGAAAAAGAAAAAGAAAAAGAAAAAGAAAAAGAAAAAGAAAAAAGCGAACAUUUGGAUAUUUCCGAACAUCUGAAAGUUAGGCUCAGACAUCAGUUGGCUGUGUGACCUUGAAUGAGUUAUCUUCCCUCUCUGAUCCUCAGUGUCUCUAUCUGUGAAGUACAGCCAGCGAUUUGGUACUGUAUGUGUGUGACAUGUCUACCUCCUUGUCAUCGUCUGUAGUUACGUGUGGCUGCGCACAACAGUGUGUGGUUGCAAAUGGUAGUUGUGUGUGUGUGUGUAACGGACAGUGUGUCUGUGUGUAAGUUACGUAUGGCCCUGAAGACCAUGUGAAGCUGUGUAUGUGUGUCUUUGUGUGUCCACCUGGCUCAGCAUCUGUCUGUUUCGGCCUGUGGAAGGAAGGGUCAGAGUUUGUAUGUGCAUCAAGAUGCACACCUGGGACUUGUCUGUGCUGUGUUGUGAGCCGGCAUAUGGUUCAGGGAGAGGUAUGUGAGAGUAUGGCCUUCUGUCUUUGCUCACGUGUGGAGGCACUUAUUUUUAGCUCUACCAGCGGGGGCCUGUUGGUAAAAGCCGUGCUCAGAAUCUGCAUCCUCAUGGGUUCGUGUCUGCCCCUGUUUAUCUCCACACACCUACGUAAAUAAUCUCAAAAGCCACAUAUUCUCCUAUUUACCUCGCAUCCUGAGCGCUUGCCUUUCCACCAACAUCCUUUCCUAUUUAUAGCUUAUUUUCAUCAAGGAAAGCUGCUCUUGUAAAUAGCAAACCCCAGCCAUGCUAUUGGUUGACAAGUCUCCUCGGAGGGAUAAAGGUUUUAGCAGGACUAUUAUGCAACCCAAGAUCCUGUAGCCCCUCCUCUCUUGUUUCCUUUUCAAGUAGGCAAACGGGGGUGUUAAAAGUGUAGGCCAGUUACUCCUUCUCAUGAAGGCAACCUCUGGGAUUUAGGUUUGCACGCCCUUGCAGAGCUGGAAGGGCCCCGGGAGACCAUCUAGCUGCCCCAUUUAACAGAUUAGGAAACUAAGACCCAGAGAGGGGAAGGGUCUUACCUAAUGUCACUCACUGUGAGUUAAGACUCACCUCUACCAUAGCCUUGGCCAAUGCUCUUUUCACACUGGGAGGUACAACACUCUUGGGAAAUAUGAAGGUGCCCAAAUCAAAAUGGAUUUAAACAAUAUUUUGCUUAAAUUGUGCCUGUCAGCACUUUUAGUAAAGAGAAGUCAUAUACAAACCCAAGAUGAUGGAGCUCCCGGGCCAAAAAAAGCUGGAAAUGAUUUCAUUAAGUCUCUGGAUGCCAUAAAUUUAUCAGUUCUAAAAACCCAUUGCAUUAGGUGGGAGGACCACAGUUCACCAAUUGCUUCCUGUGUGUCAGCCCAUUUCUUCCACAGGAUAGCCCUUGGAGGUGACGGUUGUUAUUGUUCUUUAAUCAAGGAAGAAACUGGGGCUCAGAAGGGAGAACCGAUUAGUUCAAGGUCAAAUGGCACCCCGGGGACAGCAGCGGAACAAAAACUCUUCAAACACCCAAGUCAGGGAGGCUUAUCACAGCCCCACAGCUGCCCUGGGAUCCUGGGAGAUCAGCAGGGCAGGACCUAGAGUUUGCUGUCCUGGUGUCUGGGGAUUGAGUGAAGGAGGGGACAUUCAGAUGGAGCCUGACGAGCCUGACCCUGACGUUCUGAGUCUUUCAGUGUCCCCUCCCAGCCAGCAGGCAGAGACCCUGAAAAAAAGGUUACCGUGGCAACUCACAUUCCUCCCAGAAUGAGUCACGGCAAAGAAGAGCCUUUCUGUGGGUGGGACUUGGAGAAAGUUUCAAAAGUUGAUUCCUUCUCCAGGCACCCCUUCCCCCCUCCUCUCUCCCUGGGCAAUUCGCCGCCUUCAGGCUUUGUCGAUGUGGCAGCUGAGCACUCUGAGUUAACCCUCUCUUCCCCCAACCACUCUCUUUCAAAAUUGUUUAUCAUCCUGCAAAUAUACAUCUGCUUCCAGUCCCACCCACACUCCAUCGCCCACGUCGUCAUGCCCUCUGGCUAUCUGGGGGUAGUGCAUCCAUUUGAAUAUAUGUUAAGACUAAAGGCUGUGAAUACCCCUUGUUCUCGUUCUCUCUGUCUCAUACACACACACACACACACACACACACACACACACACACACUACUGUACAUAUAAUUUUAAGUGGCUUGCAGAUGCUUGAAGCCCAUUCAAAGGCCAGUCCAUGGAUUCCAGUUUAAGAGAACUUCCCUAGAAAGUUUCAGAUGACGUCAGGCACCCAGAAGACCAAGUCCAGUCUUCUUACUUUACAGAUAGGGAAACGAAGUCCAGAGGACUCACUUACCUAAGAUAACACAUAGAAUGUGUGCUUUAAGUCUGCCAACCUACUUCUUAAUUGCUUCUCAGCACUUCUACCAUCAGCACUUGGAGGUGAUAGAAAUGCAACCCUAGAGAAUUGCUGGUGGAAACAUUUUCUCCAUGUGUUCUGCAUAGAAUGCUGUCCUUUCUGGAGGAAAAUGUGUGCCUCUCUGUUCUCUUUUGGGCAGGCUGGGCUUCCUUGAAGACAUGCUUCAUCUUAGUGCCCCCUUUAUCCUUGAUGUGUCUCAGACCCCAGGAAGUCCCCUCAUCACCCAGCCAAUGGAGCCAGUGAAGGUAAAGACGGUAGAGAUGGGAAGGAGGGCGUCCAAAGAGGACUUAACAUCCUAAAAGGUUAGACACCAGUCCCAUGUAGAGUUUGGGCUUUUCAAAUAAGGUGGUGUGAAAGAGAUGCCCUGGGACUCUCUCUUGCCUUCCCCCUUCUCCCCUUCUUGGCACAUCCUCCGCCACACCCAGCCUCCCAAAGGACCCAGGUGUCUUGGUUGGAUGAUAUCAGAUGCCUGGGGUCUUCAGAUCUACCUACACUAAGGGCCACUGCCAGUGAGUUCCUGUGUUUAUACCCCGGGGCAGCCCCAGAUGGGAACAAUGCCUAACCCAGGAAUGACUGUCUGACGGUGCUAUUUCAGAGUGUGUGGGUUGGGGGGGGAGGGGUCACUGGGGGAGAAUUCCAGGGAAACAGGAACCUUCCCAGGGUGCUGAUUAAAGGUGGAGACCCCCCCCCCACUUGCCCUCCAGAGAUCAAUUUAUCUCUCAUGCAAAGUCCCUUUUGGAGAACAGAACCCCCGACCAAGAACCCAGUCUAGGAAGUAUCUUCUGGAAGGGGGAGCAGGGCAGACUCUGGCCGCCCUCUGUCCCUGUGCAGCUGUGACCAGAUCAGAUUCCCAGGAAAGGAGGCUGCCACAUUUGUGAAGGGAGCAAAGAGGAUAGGCAGGCAGCCUCUGAAACCAGAGAGCCAAACACACACACAGAGAAAACACUCCCCCAAAGACACAAUGAGAUUAUUUUUCUGCAAACCUAAAAGGGAGACAAAGUUAUACCACCUGGAAAGCAACAGGCAGCCAGUCCGCGGCUCCUGCCCUUCGCGGCAGUGGUGAUGGAGCCCAAAGGAGAUGCGCGCCCCGUCCCUGACCCAGAGACCUCCCAGCCCAGCUUCUCUUUCUGUACACAAAGUGCAGGAGUGAACUAGGGUGUAGGGGCUGGGCACUGGAGAAGGGGAAGGCCGGGUGGGGGUCGUGCGUACCUCGGUGGCAGGCAGGCGGGCAGCAGGCAGAGUGCUCUGGGCUGUGUGAAGGUCUGCCGGAAUGUGGAGGGUUUAGAGCCGGGCAACAGGAAACCACUAGGAGCUCUGGGCUGGGUCUGUCUCCCCUCCACCCCUCAGUCCCUCCUCCUCCUCCUCUGUCUCCUCCUUCCCCCCCUCCCCUGCCUCCCCAUAGCCAAAGCCGGCUAUGUCUUCCAGAUUUUUCUUUCUCUCCUUGCUGUCCUGACCAGACUCCCCAACUCUGCCUGCCUCGUGGGUUCUGGGACUGCUGCCUACACAGACUCAUGGAGUGCCAGGGCUGGAAGGGUCCACAGGAAUCACCAGGAACAACCUCCUCGUUGUUCAGAGGGGAACUGAGGCCUGGAAGGGGCCAGGGAUUACCCAAAGGCCCCCAGGGGCAGAGCCAGGCCCAGAUGUCCUGACUUUGUGACCAGGGAUCUUUACAAGAGCCCUCCCGAACAUUAGGCAAUACUGAGGAGGGCAAAGCAAUUCAAGGGGGUUGUAUCUGUGACAAAGGCAAAGCCGGGACUCGCCUCUGUACAGACAAGAGAAGCCGCCUCUGGUGGCAUCAUCAUUGAUGAUUUGGGAUAUGAUCUAAAAAUAACAACUCUGACUCAAGUUGCACGACUAAUAACACAAGAGAUGAGCUUUCUAGCCAGGGAAUCGGUCAUCAGUAUAGAGUAGAUAAGGUGAUUGAUGAUAGUGAUAAUAAUCAUAGAAGUAACAAUAGCCAAGGUUUACUGACACUUAAUAAUCUUCACCAGCAACCCCUUAACUUAGAUUUUGUUAUGAUCCCCAUUUUACUAAUAAAGAAACAGAGGCUCAGGGGGACUAAGUCACUUGCCCAAGAUCACCUGGUUUAAAGUGGUAUGGGCAGGCUGAGUCCACAUUUCAACUUGGCUCACUCUUAUGCUACAUGAACUUCUUGGUACAACGGGUCUUGGUUGAACAUUUAUGAGAAUAUUGAUGAAUAUAUCAAUCAUAUAUAUAUGAUGAAUAUAUAUAU
RNAcentral lists this long non-coding RNA (10288 nucleotides) under Lynx pardinus (Iberian lynx). Lineage: Eukaryota; Metazoa; Chordata; Mammalia; Carnivora; Felidae. The record is from RNAcentral.